Molecule: non-coding RNA, 521 nt
Organism: Rattus norvegicus (Norway rat)
Lineage: Eukaryota; Metazoa; Chordata; Mammalia; Rodentia; Muridae
Source: the annotation of a RefSeq genome assembly
AUGGGGUUUUGGGUUGAGUCUCAGUCACUGUGCCCUGUUUUCGGUGGUGGAACCAAGCUCACUGUCCUAGGUCAGCCCAAGUCCACUCCCACACUCACAGUAUUUCCACCUUCAACUGAGGAGCUCCAGGGAAACAAAGCCACACUGGUGUGUCUGAUUUCUGAUUUCUACCCGAGUGAUGUGGAAGUGGCCUGGAAGGCAAAUGGUGCACCUAUCUCCCAGGGUGUGGACACUGCAAAUCCCACCAAACAGGGCAACAAAUACAUCGCCAGCAGCUUCUUACGUUUGACAGCAGAACAGUGGAGAUCUCGCAACAGUUUUACCUGCCAAGUUACACAUGAAGGGAACACUGUGGAGAAGAGUCUGUCUCCUGCAGAAUGUGUCUAGGAGCCCAGGUUUCUCCUUAGCCUGGGAACCCUGCAGCUGUAGACCCAGAGCAGGGUCUCUUCUCUCUACUAGCUACCUUAUCCCUUCUCCCUUGCCCACUGAAUAUUAAAUAAAAUGUCAUUAGCUGAUCAAAA